GAUGAAGAACGUAGCGAAAUGCGAUAAGUAGUGUGAAUUGCAGAAUUCAGUGAAUCAUCGAAUCUUUGAACGCACAUUGCGCCCCUUGGUAUCCCGAGGGGCAUGCCUGUUCGAGCGUCAUUUCACCACUCAAGCCUGGCUUGGUGUUGGGCGACGUCCCCUUUGGGGACGCGCCUCGAAACGCUCGGCGGCGUGGCACCGGCUUUAAGCGUAGCAGAAUCUUUCGCUUUGGAAGGCGGGGCCCCGUCUGCCGGAAGACCUACUCGCAAGGUUGACCUCGGAUCAGGCAGGGAUACCCGCUGAACUUAAGCAUAUCAAUAAGCGGAGGA
This 329-nucleotide unclassified non-coding RNA is filed under the name soil metagenome. RNAcentral describes it as "partial contains 5.8S ribosomal RNA, internal transcribed spacer 2, and large subunit ribosomal RNA". The stretch from base 1 to 120 matches the Rfam family "5.8S ribosomal RNA", at positions 35 to 154 of the family's 154-position model. The record is from RNAcentral.